Molecule: long non-coding RNA, 319 nt
Organism: Oncorhynchus keta (chum salmon)
Lineage: Eukaryota; Metazoa; Chordata; Actinopteri; Salmoniformes; Salmonidae
Exons: 3
Source: RefSeq, a predicted model, not a curated record
AGGUGUGGCCAGGUCUGACAGCGUUUCCUGAUUUCUCUGACGAUGUGACCCAUGAGUGGUGGUACGACAAUCUCAAGAGGUUCCACGACAAAGUUCCCUUCGACGGACUCUGGAUCGACAUGAACGAGCCAUCUAGCUUCGUGGACGGGUCGACCGUUGGCUGUCCUGACACCGAGCUGGAGAACCCUCCGUACACACCUGGUAUAUUAGGAGGGUUGUUGAGGGCUCAGACUCUGUGUGCCUCUGCUGUCCAGAAGACCUCGUCUCACUACAACAUGCACAGCCUGUAUGGCCUUCUAGAAGCUAAGGCCUCGGCUCG